Molecule: long non-coding RNA, 784 nt
Organism: Malaclemys terrapin pileata
Lineage: Eukaryota; Metazoa; Chordata; Testudines; Emydidae
Exons: 2
Source: RefSeq, a predicted model, not a curated record
CACAACCCCCAGCCCCACACAAGGCCGAGGCCCCUCUCCCAGGGGAAUCUGUGGCACAGCCCGAGAGUCCCGCGAGGAGACGCAGCCCGAGGGGACGAUGAAGCGUCUGUGGCUGCUGUUGGUUCUGGUGCUGGCCGGGGCUGCCCUGGCUGGGCCCAUCCUGCAGCAGCCGCUGGGCAUGGAGGGUCCCGGCACGGUGGCAGCGCGUGAUGGGGCGUCACCCCAACGGCAGCCGCUGGGAGCGAGAGUGGAAAGGGCCGCACGGGGACGGAGAAACCGAACCACAAUUAGCUUGUGUCACCCAUCGAGACCUGGCUGCCUGACAGUAUUUGGCCACCGUAUUAAUAGGCACUAAGCUUGUUGCUGCUGGAACCAACCCCUCGAGCUGGGAGCAUUUCAGGCCUGCACGCCCCUGCCCCAGAUCACCAGAGCUGUGUGCGCCAGCCGCUCGGCUCCAAACGCCCCUUGCCAGGCGUCACAUGCUGCAAAGAGAACGUCUGAUGAUUCUCCCCUCACUGGUUUUACACCCUUGUAUCUCCCGUGACCUCACUGGAGUCACUCCUGAUUUACACCGGUGUGAAUCCGGCCCUAAAAAGCAUGAGCUUGCUGCUGUCUGUGGGGAACGGGAGCCCCUAGCCCGUCCCGAGCGCUGUGGGCAGAGGCCACGACUGGGCCCUGUCGGUCGUGGGAUUCUCAGUCCCUCUGUGCCGGGCGUUGCUGAGCCUGGAGCUUCCCGUGCGCUUUCCAUUUAUUCACUCGCAUCAAUAAAAGCAGGAACCUCUGA